UCAAGGACCCUCCCUAGGCGUUAGGGGGAAAGGAAGUACAUAUCUUAUAGAAUACCAUUAGGGCAAAACUGGGUUGAGCAACAUAGCUGAGGGUUGCUCUUUGCAAGUUGAAGUGAAGAAAAGGCAGGCGAUAGGGGGGGUGAGCUGCUUAUGCAAGCAUUUUCAUCACUUCCCCAUAUCUCCUGUGCACUCUUCGUUCCUUGUCGAUUUGGCUUGGCAUCGUUGCACUAUUUGCGGGUUUUGUGCCAUGGACUUGAUGCUGCACUCCGCGUUCCCUUGUAUGGCGUCCCUGGCCUUGGCGACAGGUAGCGGCGUGCUCUUGGGCACUUUGCUUCCUUGGAUAAGACGGAGACGGUGCCGACUGCCCGUGCUCUUGCUCCGCCAGUGGUGGUGCCUGAGCUUGUGGCCAUGGUGGCAACCUGCAUGGGAGCAUGGGAUGUAGGAAGAAGGCAACGCACAACAAUUCGUUGGCAUGCAAAGGAUGCUUAGUCUAACUACCAGGCAAUGGAGAGUACAUAGGAGGUGUGAGGGGAGGGGUGAAAACGUUGCCGUGAGCGGACCGCCGCCGCGGUCAGCCUUUGGACCCAAAGUCGAGCAGUGAGGUGAUUGUGAUAGGGGAAGCGAGGAAGAGGGCACUGUGNN
RNAcentral lists this long non-coding RNA (642 nucleotides) under Hordeum vulgare. RNAcentral's name for it is "long non-coding RNA (HVUL_LNC020762)". The record is from RNAcentral. Lineage: Eukaryota; Viridiplantae; Streptophyta; Magnoliopsida; Poales; Poaceae.